CAGGAUGAACGCUGGCGGCGUGCUUAACACAUGCAAGUCGAACGAACCUUCGGGUAGUGGCGGACGGGUGAGUAACGCGUGGGAACCUGCCCUCAGGAGGGGGAUAACGGCUGGAAACGGCCGCUAAUACCCCAUAUGCCGAGAGGUGAAAUGAGAUUCGCCUGAGGAUGGGCCCGCGUCUGAUUAGCUAGUUGGUGGGGUAAAGGCCUACCAAGGCGACGAUCAGUAGCUGGUCUGAGAGGAUGAUCAGCCACACUGGGACUGAGACACGGCCCAGACUCCUACGGGAGGCAGCAGUGGGGAAUUUUCCGCAAUGGGCGAAAGCCUGACGGAAGCAACGCCGCGUGAGGGAUGAAGGCCUCUGGGCUGUAAACCUCUUUUCUCAAGGAAGAAGACCUGACGGUACUUGAGGAAUAAGCCACGGCUAAUUCCGUGCCAGCAGCUGC
This 446-nucleotide ribosomal RNA is filed under the name uncultured bacterium. RNAcentral describes it as "bacterial SSU rRNA". It matches the Rfam family "Bacterial small subunit ribosomal RNA", at positions 25 to 518 of the family's 1533-position model. The record is from RNAcentral.